AUUCUUGACACACAGAAGCUGUAAGAAAAUAUGUAUUUGUAACUUCAAGCUGUCAAGUUUGUAGUGAUUUGUUAUGCAGCAAUGGAUGACCAGUAUAAUGGAUCAACUCACUUAAAUUUGGGAACUUCAGGUCCAGGAGGUAAAGGGAAGAUCAACCCACCUUUGUGUAUUAUGAAGAUAUGAGCAAACAAACUAGAACACACGCACAAAGAAUAAAUUGAGAUCUGCUAUUUAAUACUUACACGAAGGCACAGAAUGUUGACAAGAGUGC
Molecule: long non-coding RNA, 271 nt
Filed under: Gorilla gorilla gorilla (western lowland gorilla)
Lineage: Eukaryota; Metazoa; Chordata; Mammalia; Primates; Hominidae
Description: lncRNA (ENSGGOG00000044535.1)
Source: RNAcentral